GGUAAGGGACUACGGUGGAAAUCUUGGGGUGGUUUAACGACUCCAAAAGCUGCAGGAGGGAUGGGCUUCCGCAAGCUAAGAGAGAUGAAUUUGGCUCUCUUAGUUGAAGGAGGAAACCCGUCAUAUAUAUGGAAAGGCUUGCUAGAGGUUCAAAAUGUCCUACGCUUAGGGUGUCGUCGGAGCAUUGGAAACGGGCUAGACACGAAAA
This is a long non-coding RNA of Ipomoea triloba (trilobed morning glory), 208 nucleotides long. RefSeq lists it as uncharacterized. The transcript is spliced from 2 exons. The record is from RefSeq and is a predicted model, not a curated record. Lineage: Eukaryota; Viridiplantae; Streptophyta; Magnoliopsida; Solanales; Convolvulaceae.